RNAcentral lists this ribosomal RNA (533 nucleotides) under Amolops xinduqiao. RNAcentral describes it as "partial large subunit ribosomal RNA". It matches the Rfam family "Bacterial large subunit ribosomal RNA", at positions 1814 to 2571 of the family's 2925-position model. Lineage: Eukaryota; Metazoa; Chordata; Amphibia; Anura; Ranidae. The record is from RNAcentral.
CAUCGCCUCUUGCCCCCAAAUAUAAGAGGUCCAGCCUGCCCAGUGACAUAGUUUAACGGCCGCGGUACCCUAACCGUGCAAAGGUAGCAUAAUCACUUGUUCUUUAAAUAAGGACUCGUAUCAACGGCAUCACGAGGGCUGUACUGUCUCCUUUCUCCAAUCAGUGAAACUGAUCUCCCCGUGAAGAAGCGGGGAUUGACCUAUAAGACGAGAAGACCCCAUGGAGCUUUAAACCCAACACACACCUCUACUCACUCAAAUCAACAUAACCCAAGAGACUUGUGUGUUGGUUUUAGGUUGGGGGGACCGCGGAGUAAAAUCAAACCUCCAUGACAGACGGACUAACACCCUUAUCCAUGAACCACAAUUCUAAGAGCCAAUAAAUUGUUGUCUAAUGACCCAAUUACUUGAUCAACGAACCAAGUUACCCUGGGGAUAACAGCGCAAUCUACUUCAAGAGCCCCUAUCGACAAGUAGGUUUACGACCUCGAUGUUGGAUCAGGGUAUCCUAGUGGUGCAGCCGCUACUAAAGG